AUUUUGCAUAUUACUUGGGAGCAAAGGCAUUGUCUGUGCAUGAGAAAGGAAUGAAUUCCUCAUGGAAGGUGCUCUAUGGACAAUUCCUUUUUAUCUUCACAAGUCCUGGAGAAACAGCAGUGGAUUGCCCUGCCUUACUUCACCCCUGGGCUGGUCCCCUGCAUGUGUCUCUCACAUAAGGAGCUCUGAUUGCUCUCCUCCUUUUCUGUUAAAAACAUCCAAGGAGCUCCUUGUUCUACCAGGCACUGUACCAAACUCAACAUCCAUCCCUGUACCUGGAGUUCCCCGCUGCAGACUGGGAGUGGCUUUUUAGAAGGUGUUAGCUCAAGCAGCAAAGCCGUAUGGUGACAAAGCACUGCACAGCAUUGCCAACAGCCUGGGCACACUAAGGUCUAGCGCUCCUCUGCGAGCAGUGCCAGUUGUGGUUUGAUUUGCUUAUGUCUCCUGUUUGGAGAUUUUAAAUGAUGUUGAAAGGCUGUUUGGUUUGGGAUUUUGUCAUUGUUAUAUUCGUUUAUUUUCCUCUUACCAGUCCUUGAGAUAAAAACUGAAAAUGAGCAAAGAAAAGUUCCAUUAGGAGGCUCAAACAAAUUAAACCAGCACUCUGGCUCUAGAAGCUCAGCUGUCUAUAGCUGUAAUAUGGCUGCAGGUUGUUGCAUUUACUUCAGUGAAUCACCAGUAGAUCUGGUCCUUGCACUGCUGCUCUAUUUCAGUAAAAAUGAUGUCUUCAAGGUGCUUCUUGUGCAUAAUCUCUGCAUCUGGGGAGGUCAUGAGAUGAUCGCUUUAGGUGACAACAGCGAGAUUAACCCAGUCAUGAGUCUGCAAUUGAAAAUUUAGCUCUAGAUAAGACUUCAGCAUGAGAAAGUCUGGGUUUUGAUGCCUGAGUGGUGUACCUUUAUGUGUUGUUUUCUUCUGGGACCAAGGUUGUGAAGCCCUGUUAAGUACCACCUCUUCAUUGUAUUUUAAUUUUCUAUCCCCUCCUUUAAACAUGCAUAUUCCCAUGCUCACUCCUUGCUUUCCAGUUCUCUGUUUCUGAAAUGUGAGCCCUGUGAUAUUCCAGUUCACACCUGGCUUUCUGCACUGGCCUGAGUGGGCCUGGCAAUUGGGCAUCCUUACAGAAAAAGGCACCAGGCAGAAACUUGAGCAAAAAAAUGGUAUGAGGACUGAAAGAGCCAUUAAAUUCCUCCUGUCAUAUCAGUGAAACUGUACAUACUUUGAAAAAUUCCCCUAAUAUAUCUUUAAACCAUAGACCAUAGCACUGGUUGUGGUCUAGAGUACCAACUCUUAUGUUUCAGUAAGAGGCCAUUUUCUUUCUUCUUGUCUCUACUACUGGGGGUGGGUGGAGGAUGAGGAUGGGAAUAUGAUUUGCAUCUACAUAAAAAUAAAUUUGUAGUGGAAUCACAUUAAGGAUUUGACUAAGCCCGCACAAGCAGAGAGUUAAGACUGAUAUUCUGUCAUUACCUCAGCUCAUUACAUCUUGGGGUUUUGUUACUCAUGUAGUCUGUAAGAUCACCCACUCUCUGGAGAAUCCUAUACUACCUGGAAACAAAGGGAAGUGUUAUGUUGUAGCUUUACCUCUGAAAUUUCCUUGCUUUGCCAACUUUCCUCAGUGUUACCAUAAAACAGUUCUUGGUGACUUAUAUGUAUUAAUGGCAUUAAUUAAACUAUCAGCACAGCUGAAUGGGAG
Molecule: long non-coding RNA, 1684 nt
Organism: Zonotrichia leucophrys gambelii
Lineage: Eukaryota; Metazoa; Chordata; Aves; Passeriformes; Passerellidae
Exons: 3
Source: RefSeq, a predicted model, not a curated record